UACCAGCUCUCCGAGUGGUAGGGAUGAUUAUUGGGCUUAAAGCGUCCGUAGCCGGCUUAGCAAGUCUCCUGUUAAAUUCAGCGACCUAAUCGUUGAGCCGCGGGAGACACUACUAGGCUAGGAGGCGGGAGAGGCCGACGGUAUUCUCGGGGUAGGGGUGAAAUCCUAUAAUCCCGGGAGGACCUCCAGUGGCGAAGGCUGUCGGCUAGAACGCGCUCGACGGUGAGGGACGAAAGCUGGGGGAGCGAACCGGAUUAGAUACCCGGGUAGUCCCAGCUGUAAACGAUGCGGGCUAGGUGUUGGGGUGGCUACGAGCCACUUCAGUGCCGCAGGGAAGCCAUUAAGCCCGCCGCCUGGGGAGUACGGCCGCAAGGCUGAAACUUAAAGGAAUUGGCGGGGGAGCACCACAAGGCGUGAAGCUUGCGGUUC
Molecule: ribosomal RNA, 429 nt
Filed under: uncultured archaeon
Lineage: Archaea
Description: bacterial SSU rRNA
Rfam family: Archaeal small subunit ribosomal RNA
Source: RNAcentral